UACGGGGGGGGCAAGCGUUGUUCGGAAUUACUGGGCGUAAAGGGCUUGUAGGUGGCCAACUAAGUCGAACGUGAAAUCCCCGGGCUCAACCCGGGAACUGCGUCCGAUACUGGAAGGCUUGAAUCCGGGAGAGGGAUGUGGAAUUCCAGGUGUAGCGGUGAAAUGCGUAGAUAUCUGGAGGAACACCGAUGGCGAAGGCAGGUCUCUGGGCCACUACUGACGCUGGGAAGCGAAAGCAUGGGGAGCGAACAGG
Molecule: ribosomal RNA, 253 nt
Filed under: uncultured bacterium
Lineage: Bacteria
Description: partial 16S ribosomal RNA
Rfam family: Bacterial small subunit ribosomal RNA
Source: RNAcentral